GUCGAGCGGAAUGACGAGAGCUUGCUCUCUGAUUUUAGCGGCGGACGGGUGAGUAACACGUGGGCAACCUGCCCUACAGAUGGGGAUAACUCCGGGAAACCGGGGCUAAUACCGAAUAAUCAGUUUGUCCGCAUGGACAAACUCUGAAAGACGGUUUCGGCUGUCACUGUAGGAUGGGCCCGCGGCGCAUUAGCUAGUUGGUGGGGUAAUGGCCUACCAAGGCAACGACGCGUAGCCGACCUGAGAGGGUGAUCGGCCACACUGGGACUGAGACACGGCCCAGACUCCUACGGGAGGCAGCAGUAGGGAAUCUUCCACAAUGGACGAAAGUCUGAUGGAGCAAUGCCGCGUGAGCGAAGAAGGUUUUCGGAUCGUAAAGCUCUGUUGUAAGGGAAGAACACGUACGGGAGUAACUGCCCGUGCCAUGACGGUACCUUAUUAGAAAGCCACGGCUAACUACGUGCCAGCAGCCGCGGUAAUACGUAGGUGGCAAGCGUUGUCCGGAAUUAUUGGGCGUAAAGCGCGCGCAGGCGGUUCUUUAAGUCUGAUGUGAAAGCCCACGGCUCAACCGUGGAGGGUCAUUGGAAACUGGAGAACUUGAGUACAGAAGAGGAAAGCGGAAUUCCACGUGUAGCGGUGAAAUGCGUA
RNAcentral lists this ribosomal RNA (648 nucleotides) under uncultured bacterium. RNAcentral describes it as "bacterial SSU rRNA". It matches the Rfam family "Bacterial small subunit ribosomal RNA", at positions 61 to 692 of the family's 1533-position model. The record is from RNAcentral.